UUUGAAGGAUCUUUUUUAAUACACACUGUAGGAAAUUAAUAAGACGGUUUUAUUACAAGCAGGGGUUUCCAUGGUUGCCUUGUGCCGAGAUACCUGGAGGUCAUUUUAUUUGGGGAUUUGGGGAGCCAUUUUGUGGCCGAGGACUAGUGGGCUGCUCGCUGUUCUGCUUACAGUUACCUAUUGCUGCUCACAGGGUUGCUCACAGUUACUUACUGUUACUUAGAGUUGUGGUGUGUGUAAGGCAGUAAGACCAGUCUGGGCUCACUGCCAAGGGACCAUGUGGCCGGGGUCAGGGAAACAAUUUGAUAAGUUGGUUAAAACAACCAAUGGACUGCAAGAAGAAGACUAUACCACCUUUUGAGAAAGAAAAGAGCCAGGCUUGGCAUGGGAGGAGCGAGGGAGUGGUUAUGUAAAUCAAAGGGUCUUAAAAGGCCUCGUCCUUCCCAUUCGGGCUGUGCUCGGACCUGAUCACGAGUCCGGUACACCCAGCGUGCUGUCGAUAAAGUUCUUUGUUUCACUCUAUUUGGCCAUCUCCGAAAUUUUAAUUAGAGAUAUUUCUCACACACACUGCGAUGUUUCUUCCAUGUUUGAAGGUAAGUUGGCUAUAGCAGGGCCAUGUUCUUGGUUCUGAGGAAAAAGUAACCCUAAGAAUUGUUGACUGACUGAAUGUAGAUAAAUGAUUUUUUUUUCAAAGUCUCUAACCCUACAUUCAUUUUCUCAUAUCUCCAGGUAUGGUUUUAUGCUGCCUUGACCCAUCUUAUCAUGUGUGAAUAUGACUUCCCGUAGAAACCUGAACUUGAAAACAAAAGCAUAAAUUCAUCACCCUUGGCCAAAGAGUUCAUAUUCAGAAAGGCAUUUUGGGGGGAAGUAACCCUUCUCCCUGCCAUUAUGCACUUGGAUCUCAAGCGCGUACCACGUGCUUUCCUGACGUGGGACCUCUGUCAGCACAUAAAUACGGAGGAAAACAGGCUACACUGGGAAGGAAGUGUGUUUUAACCUGGAAAGGAUGAUGAAGUGCUUCCUUCAUAUUCACAGCAGAGCUAAUCCCACUCUGGUCAUGAAUUCUGCUCCAUUACAGCUCCUCUGAGGGAGAAAAAACAGCAUUACCUUACAGCAAUGAGGUCUUCUGGCAUCUAAGAAUUUCUGCAUAUUGCAUCCAGUGAUAUCUUGCUCUAAUCAGUAUAAUGAAAAUUGUCUGUCCACUGAUAAGUGCUCCAGGUGGCUUUUGCACAGUGCUUGAGAGCUUUCAGUUAAGGUGGCAAAAGCUUCAUCAGAGAGGAGAAAAAUUUUAAGAGGAAAGCUAUGUACGGUAAGGAAAGAAGCAAUAAUCUUCCCAGUGUCAAGAGCUUGUAAAAAGAAUUUUGGAUUAAAAACCUGGAAGACUAGCUUUGUCAGGAGCUUUGAUGACAUGAACUUAAAAAGGCAAAAGGAACCCACUUAAAAACUGAUUGCGGCUGCUGAGGAAAGGUCUCAUUGUGGAGACAAAAAUGCUACUGAGAUACCUUGAGCCACUUCUGUGACAUGGAGCAUCAUGGGAACUAAUAAACUGGCCUUAGAGUUUGCCUGAAAUCAGUGAUGUCUUAUGUGAAUAUGUCCUCAGUGACUGAUGAAGAGGCACAACUGUGUUUUGGUGUAGCUGGAGUGUAGUUCACUGCUGAAAUGUUUGUGUUUAAGGUAGUCCAGGGGAAAGAUGCAGAGGAGUGGCCAGGGUGACAUAUAAGGGAAUAGACAGAUCUUUUGCAUUCUUCUUGGAUGUCACUACAAUAAAUCUCUGCUUCAUGAUGCUAAAUCUAGAGCCUUCAACCAUCCAGAAUUCUGGGACCAGAUGUCAGACCUGUCACCAGGUAAUCAUCAAGUCCUGUGUAGCUUCUUUUCUGUGUGAAAGCAGGAGGGCUAGGAACCCUCUGAUGAAAGUGAAAGUUGAAAAAGCACGACUCUUGUAGCAAGAAAUCAAUUCCACCUCUGCAGUAGUAAUAAUCUCUGUAAGAUUUGCCCAGCAAGUGCCAGCAGUGAAUUAGCACAGAGUUUGUGAAAAAUUAAAAGGAGCUGUAUAUAUAACUGUUGCAAAUGCUUCACUGCUGAAUGAUUGCUUGAAAUAGAUUGAUUUUUUUCAUUAAGGUUAAUUUUUAUUGUGAAGAUCCUGAUUUUAUCUUCUGAGUCCCUGAGAAUACUGUGUUAGACUGUCUCUAUACAAGUCAAAAAACAUUGAGGUUUAAAUUUGGGUCACAGUUCAUAGUAAUGGUUUUCCACUUAAAGAGUGGGGUUAAUUUACUUAUUUUAAAUAUGUUUCAGGUUUAGCCUCUUUUCCUCUUAUAUGUUUUUACCUGACCUGUUCUCUUCCUGUUUACUGUCCCCUUCAGAGUAAGAACAAACUCUUAUUUACUGUCUCUCUCAGCUAGAAUUUAAAAUUUGACCUGACAUUAAGCUAUUCCUUUCUGUACUGGAGGGGAAAAAAAAAUCCAAGUCAUAUGGUACUAUCCUUCACUUUCAUUGAACCAUCUGGAUUCAGCUCUAUUCUGGAGCUGAAAACUGUCAACGUCUCUUGAUGCAAAGCAAAUAGACUUAGCUAAAAGGGAAGUUCAAGCUGGAGCAUCAGCGUGUAGAAAGUUUAGAGGAGUUCAACACUGGAGGAAGGAAAUUAUUAUCUGUCAGACGAGUCUCAUCCUGCCCAAAAGCCAUAGCAUUAAGCAUCUAAUGCUGUUUCUUUAAAGAUUAGUCUCAUAUUCAAGAUUUCAGAGUAAAUCAGAUUUUGGGUUUAUUAAAGUUUACUUUUGAUUUACUGUUUGCAAAGCUUAUGUCCCAAACAAGAGGAAAGUCUAGUCUCUUAUAUCAGGACUUCCUUAAUUUAAAGAAACUACAAGGACUUGUUACUGCAUGGCUCACCCCCUCAAUAAUAAAAUUAAUACCCAUAUGAUUUUAUGAUACUCAUAAUACAAAUUAGUUCCAUGUCCUUCUGAAGUCUACAUAAUGUAAUUUAUUAUCUACAUAAUUAUGUUGAUGAUUGUAGUUAUUUACCUUCUAAAUGCCUUGAAUCAAGGCAUUAAACAAAGAAAUAAAGUAAAACUAUCAUGUAACAAAGCAUUUGAAAUGCCUUAUGAUUUGGACUUUUGUGUAGGAUCAUAAGCACUGAAAAGAUGGAGUUCACUAGUCAUAUUUAUCCUUUACCCUUAAAAAAAUCUUAGUUGAAACUGUAAGGACCCACUGAAAAGUAAACUCGUGUCACAUGGGAUUGAGUAUUCAUUCCAAAUAAUGAUCAUUAUUUGAGUCUAGAAUAUUACUUGUUAUUUUAUGUUCUUGGCAAUUAUUGUAUCUCAUUUAAAAUAUUUAUUUUUCCUUUUGGCUGUAUUUUCCCUACAAAACUGGAACAGUUAUUCUAAAAAUUAUGGUCUCCCAGGCAAAAUAAAUUCAGUCUUGGAAUUAUGUCAAGACUUUUAACUUAAGAUGAAGUUUAAAAACUAUUUUUGUGCAAAAAUGAAACUCACUUUCUCCCUUUAACUCAUCUUUCUACGUACUGCUUCUCUGGGUGUUUCUCUCUGUAAAUCAAACAUAUGCUCUUUUUCUUUCUUACUGGAAGACUUCCAAAGGUUGAGGGGAAGUCUUACAGGAAACCCUUCCAAAACAUAUGUAGGACUUGUUCUUCCUGUGCAGAUAAAACCCUCAGAUGUGUUUAAAUGCAGACUAACUGAAACUGGAAAGCUGUAAUAUUUGGUUUGGGGCACUUUUUAAUUAAAAGGUAGAAAUUUGAUGGCUAGUUUUCUCCGUUAUAAUUUGUGCCAAGGGUUUUGCUUCAUUGUAUGUGUUUCUUUCAGUGAGUUCCAGAUGUGCUAAAAAUUUGAGAUUUAUUUUAGUUUAAAUGUUUAUUUGAUCAAAUGAGCAUGUAUUGCAUUCUGAGACUUCCUUAUCAGAUUAUCAGAUGGAAAUCAGUGCAGUAUGUGCCUUUCAUGAAGUUUUCUGUAUGGCUUUGAUUUGAAAACAUCUGUCUUUUGAGCUACAAAAUUAAACCAGAAGAAAAGACCCAUACAUACAAAAGGUUGUGACUUAAAUUGUUUCCCAGAUACUGGCUUAGAUUUUCCAGGUGUCCUGGAGUCAAAUUGUAUAUUUUAUGAAUCUGAUAUUUUCUUGUGUGACUAUUGAUAUACCACAUAAAUGGAAUCCACUCUUAGAAUACUGAUGAUUCAUAGAAUUAGAAUUUUGUACAAGUGCAUUAUCACAAGUUAAUUGUGCAAUGUCUAAAGUGAUUAGCUCUAAUUAACUUUACAUAUCUUUCUGUUUUUGAUUCUCCCAGGGAGCAUAUAUUGGACUUCUAGCCUCUUAUUAUUAACAUUCUUAAAUUACGUAUGCUUUCAUGGAUCCCUUGGGAAAGUCAACCCACCCUAUUUAACAGAUAUUUCUUUUGGGGCAGCAAGGAGCAGAGAUGAACAGAAGCAGUCAAGACAGCAAUGUAUCAUCAACGAUAUUCCCAUCAUUAUUUGAGGUGUGUUACUAAGAGAAGCUGCUGAGUUACUCUCCUAGCCUGGUGUUUGCUCAUUACAUGUUUUGAAUAUAGUAUCACUAUUAUUAAGCCUUCACUUGUUUAUAAACUAUCUUGAAAUACUGCUUAACAAGGAGACAUACAGAGGUAGAUAAUUAUUAGCAUUAGGACCUAACUAACACAUGCUGAGUUCAAGUUUACAUCACAUCUUUUACACUAGUCUGCCCCGUAUUAGAAAUGCUCUCAUUUUAUUGAGACAAAAGUAGAAAAUUAAUACUAUCAAAUCAGAUAGUAUUUUCCAGUCCAGAUGGAUAUGCAGAUGCUGCCAGGGAUGUUAAAAGUGUGGCUAGCAUCAUGUGUGCAUUCAAAAUGGGCUUUAAAAAUAGUGCUAACAUAGCCAAAAAAAUGGGAGAAUGAGUAAUUCAAAGUAUGAGUGUCUGUUUCUUUUCUUCUCCCCCCCAACUUCACAGAAGGUAAGUGCUAGUAUUUCCACUAUUUCAGAUACAAUGCUGAAAAAAAAAUCUGUGAAAUUAAAGUCUGUACUCCUA
Long non-coding RNA from Pseudopipra pipra, 5019 nucleotides. RefSeq lists it as uncharacterized. The transcript has 6 exons. The record is from RefSeq and is a predicted model, not a curated record. Lineage: Eukaryota; Metazoa; Chordata; Aves; Passeriformes; Pipridae.